AAAGGGCACGAUAUUGUGUGUAUUUCAUCAGCAUUAGGUUCCAGGGAAAAAGUGUGUUGCUGCAGCACGUAAAGCUGUAAAUUGUGAACCGGCUUGGGAAAAGCUGGAUUAAGGGUCCCUGGAGUGGAAGGAAGAGAGCAGGGUGGGCUUCCAUUCCUUGCUCCAGUAAGGGUUUGCAGGUAGGUAGCUAAGUAAUUGGCUAAUUAAGUAUAGUUAAAAGGAGGUGUGGAGCAACACCUCAGAGCUAGCUUCCCCCUAGAGACCUCCUUCAAGUAGUUUAGGGUGAAUAAAUUUGCCUGGCGCGAAUUCAUGAUGAAUUUCAGUGUUUCGCCGCCGGAGAAUAAAUUUGUGAAAGUCCCGACAGUUUUCUAAAUUUUUUUGCCGUUUUGCUCAUCACUAGUCUCAAGUGUGUCCCAGUGAGGAUUCUGAAAGCCAGCGAGGGCUAAAGGAAUACUCCAGCUUGAUUAAUUGCAACUAAUGCAAAAUCAUAGAAAAAAUAAUCAAAUUACUGCCGAAGAUACCCUUCCCGUUGACUUCUAUGGCAUCUGACAGAUUAGAGUUACAAUCACAACUGAUGCAAAAUCACAGAGGUAACAACCGAAUGGCUCGGGCACUGAAUGGUUUGCAUUGGACGAAAGGCAGACUUGAUGGAAAGCAUAUGUACAUUUUGAACAAGAUCUGGUACUUCAUUAUGUAAAUGCCUGAGGUUGUUUCCAUUUGAAGGUUAAUGAAUACACGGUCAAUAACCACUACUGGACAUCCAUGUGACUAUAUACAGUACUUUUUUGCAUUUGCAUCAUUUUUUAUAUGUUAAAGUAGCAGAAGUAUAUAUGUUACAGAAGUAGCAUUUACUUGCCAUUUGAGCACAAACAAAUCAAGUCAUGGUCCAUAACAAGGUAUUUCACAUAACUAUCUGACCCCUUAUCAUGAAAUGUAUUAUUAAAAAUAUAAAAGUGACUAGGUCAAAUAACUUUAAUCUUAAUAUAUGAUUUAUAAUCUUAAUAUAUCUCAACCUCAACCUCUGUCAAUCUGAACACGGUGAAUGCUAGAAAUUUGAAUGCAGUAAUUUAAAAAGGGGUACAAUCCUUUUAAAAUAUUUUAAGGAAACUGCACUCACAUACUACUCCAUAUUCCAAACUGGAAAACCUAUAUAUUUGUGGACACACCCUACACCUGGAGUGUUCUUUGAUCAUGGGUUAUGCAGACUCCAAAAUCAUCCAUAUUAGUAAAAGCACCUCCCCCAAUUCAGGACUCUCCUACCUAAAUAGGGACAACCUCGGAGGUAUGCACCCAUUAUAUCAGGGGCAUGGUGCUCUGUUAAUAGUGCAGGCAGUGUACCACUAAAUCAUGGUCUAAUCAUAUUGCAACCCUGAACACCCUGCAGCUAUAAAAAUGACAUUUUAUUUCAUGGUUGGCAGGGCUGAAAGUAACUAGGUGUCCUAGGGACCCCUACAAUCCAGUCUUUGCUGCCCUGAGGAUGGGCCAUUAAAGCUUGAGGAGCUCCAGGCAAGUGAGAAUAAAUGAGACAUUACUAGAAGCAAAGAGGCAGUUAAGUGAGGAAGACGCCAAUUCUGCAGGGGGUCAGCAAUAUUUUGAAAUGACUUUCUCUCCGUUAAUUAAUGAGUAGUCUAUGGAAUCACUCUCUGAAACGCUUGCAGAUAUAUAUAUAUAUAUAUAUAUAUAUAUAUAUAUAUAUAUAUAUGUGUGUGUGUUUACCUUUAUUACUUUUAAGAGCUUACUUUGAAUGAUAUGAAGUUGUUUGGAGAAAUUAUAACACCACUGAAUGUGUAUAUCUACAUUCUAAACUAGGCAAAAAGAAUGCAUUCCUACUUUAGUGCAAGAGACAUCUGCUUUUGCUCAAGGAUCAUUUUUUAUGUUUACUUUUUUUUCCUGUUUUCUUUAAUACGUCACAUUAAAUGGCAAUUUAAACCCAACGUUGA
Xenopus laevis (African clawed frog) is the source of this 1940-nucleotide long non-coding RNA. RefSeq lists it as uncharacterized. The transcript has 3 exons. The record is from RefSeq and is a predicted model, not a curated record. Lineage: Eukaryota; Metazoa; Chordata; Amphibia; Anura; Pipidae.